CGAAGAGCGUCUCCAGCAGGCGCUUGAUGUAGUGGAAUGAGUGACAGAUGCAGGCGAGGCUGGUCGGGGGGAGCAGGCUCAGCUGGGGCUGGUCCGGCAGGUCUUCUGCCUUCCCCUACCCUCCUCCCACCUGCCCCACUUACUGCACCACUGUAUGCCGACUGGACGUAAAGUCAUAUUUGUGGCCAUAGAUGAAGGGCACUCGGAAGUAGAAGAGCAGGUAGAUGAAAAGGGGCCCCGCGUACUCUGUUAGGAAGACCUGAGAGUAGAGGGGGGCAAGAUGAGUCACCCAACGUGGCUGACGGGAAAAGAGGCCGUGGGUAGGGUCAGGACUCACCGUCACCC
This 345-nucleotide long non-coding RNA is filed under the name Homo sapiens (human). RNAcentral's name for it is "non-protein coding lnc-NDUFB7-1:1". Lineage: Eukaryota; Metazoa; Chordata; Mammalia; Primates; Hominidae. The record is from RNAcentral.